Molecule: long non-coding RNA, 3897 nt
Organism: Pecten maximus
Lineage: Eukaryota; Metazoa; Mollusca; Bivalvia; Pectinida; Pectinidae
Exons: 2
Source: RefSeq, a predicted model, not a curated record
UGUUAUAUAUAAUAAUUGUAUUAAUAUGUAUAUAUAAUGAUUAUUUUAUUUUUUUCAUUAGAUUUUCUAAAGAUUCCACGUUAAACGUGAACCCUCCAUGAUGAUAACCGUAAUUUUUAGUUUUAUACACCGCAUUAUCACUUUGCCACCUUAAAAUGGUUAGAAAAUUAUUAUCCUUGGUGAUGUGCAGUAUUGGGCUAUUUAAACUACCUGCAGUCGUCUUUCUCAGAUUUUUUUGGAGCAUACAUGUACACCCAGAGCUACCAUUUCGGCCAACCACUUGUUCACAAAAUUUCCACAGCUGCACACACAUUUGCAGAGUUGUUGAAUGGAUUAGUACAGUACAUGUAAUUUCAAGUGAAGUACCUUGUCCAAAAAUACAGCACAUUGCUUGUGUGGAGACUCAAACUAGUUGUUCUUAAUCACCACCAUGCCUCCUAUUAAUUGAGGUCUAGGGAGCAAAUUUAAUGCUUGUUGUAAUGUUUGAUGCUUAGAAGAUUUAUGUUGUGUUAAUAAGUAAAAUCAGAAAACCUUGACAGACUGUACAAGAAGAUUUCUUGUAUUUUUAAAAACAGCAUUUUACCCUACAUGUUCGUUUUACUGUUAUUAUUGAAAAUUAACUACAUGUUUAUGUUAUGGUAGAAGUUUAGAAGUAGAUGGUCCGUUCAUUUACAUGGACAAACUGGUAUCUCAAUUUUUGAAAUGUAUCAUUUGAGGCAUAAAUCUAGAUGGACCUUCAGUAGUUAAUACAGGUCUUGAAAGUCUUUGUCAAGGCUUGUCUGAAAGCAUUAUAAAAUCAUUAGGUCCGUCCUUAUUUCAUAAACGGAAAACUCUGCUCCAGCCAUUUCAGGUGAUCAGGUUGUAUACAGUGGUAACAUGCUUGCCUUUCACCUGCCUGGCCAUGUGGGGUUUCUCGGGGUACUCUGGGUUUCCUACAGCAGUGAGACCCCUUCUGCUCUUCAAUCCAGGCCAACAAGAGUGAUUAAUAUGUUUUAUUAUGUUAUGGUAGAAAUUUAAAAGUUUAGAAGUAGGUUUGUUCAUUUACAUGGACAAACUGGUAUCUCAAAUUUUGAAUUUUUUUUUCAAUCCGGGCCAACAAGAAUAAUUAAUAUAUAUAAGUUGAUAUUUACUUGUUUUGAAAGUGUUGAUAAAUAACUAAAGUUUACAAACCAUUUGGACUUGGACCACAAUAAUAAGAAAAAAACAGCCCUGUGCUCUGAUGGAACUUAGUGGCUGAAUUUGAUUUGAACUCUGGUGGAAGUUCGCCUUAUUGCUGUGGUUCACGACAUCAAAACAAGGUUUGUAACUCUAUUGAUCAUGCCUACCUCAUCAAUUCGAGACAUUCCUUCGCCUUUCAUAUCACAGAUUACAUGUAUUUUGUGUGAAUGGUAUAAACCCAACCUCAAUAUACCCCCUCCCUGUAUUUAGCAUUACUGACCAGUCGGGCAGGGCAGUUAUCAAGUUUAGAUGGUCGCUUAUGUUCUGGCCCUGGUUUAAACAACAUUUCAUAACUCAGAAAAACAUUAUAGAACUUAAGGAAAAUUAUUUUGAUUAACAAUGAUUUUUCCUUUAAUCCAAUAACGGCUUCUAAAGAAAAAAUUAUAGUAUAAGAAUUUCCUGAAUUUGAAAAUGUUGAUCAAACUUGGGCCAGACUGCAUUUGUUGUGGUGCUUACAAGAUGUUACUUUAUCAUGGUGCUUCUAAGAUAUCCAUUUUAUCUUUACAUAUUUAGGUUUUAAUAUAGUUAACCAAGACGCGCAUGACUGUCAUGUUUCUGUAACCUACAGCAUUAGGUUUCAUAAUUACAUUUUUCAGUAUACAAAUUUCAUUUAGCUGCAGAUGAUUGAAUGUAAACUUGUAGGUAUCUUAUGUUUUUGGUGUCAUUGUUAUUACAUUUUUAAUGGUUCAUAACACUGAAAAGGUCAUUAGGUCUAUAAAAAGUAGUGGUCAUAAUUUUUAUCUUAGGACUAUAAAAAGUAAAGGUCAUUAGGUCUAUAAAUAGUAGAGGUCAUAAGGACUAUAAAAAGUAAAGGUCAUUAGGGCUAUAAAUAGUAAAGGUCAUUAGGGCUGUGAAUAGUAAAGGUCAUUAGGGCUAUAAAUAGUUAAGGUCAUUAUAGGGCUAUAGAUAGUAAAGAUCAUUAGGGCUGUGAAUAGUAAAGGUCAUUAGGGCUAUAGAUAUUAAAGGUCAUUAGGGCUAUAAAUAGUAAAGGUCAUUGAGGCUAUUAAUAGUAAAGGUCAUUAGGGCUAUAGAUAGUAAAGGUCAUUAGGGCUAUAAAUAGUAAAGGUAAUUAGGGCUGUGAAUAGUAAAGGUCAUUAGGGGUAUAAAUAGUAAAGGUCAUUGAGGCUAUUAAUAGUAAAGGUCAUUAGGGCUAUAUAUAUAGUAAAGGUCAUUAGGGCUAUAUAUAUAGUAAAGGUCAUUAGGGCUAUAAAUAGUUAAGGUCAUUAGGGGCAGGGCUAUAGAAAGUAAAGGUCAUCAGGGCUAUAGAUAGUAAAGGUCAUUAGGGCUAUGAAUAGAAAGUAAAUAAUGGAUAUUAAAUUGAUCAACAUCAAACAAUUAAAAUAUUUUUAAAAUAUCUCGGUCCACUUGGAGUAUUUAUAUCCAAACAUAGUUUAAAUAGUACAGACCCACAGCUUUUAGAUAGUUCAAAAUUUUGAAAAAUCAGUAUUUAAAAUAAAAGUCCCCUUAGCUUGUUAAGUGUCUAGAAGAAAAAUCACAGAGGUAACUUAGAACAUUCGUGUACAGAAACAUGUUUUGGAAUGGAUAUUAUUGUCUGGUUGUAUUAGUACUGUAGAAAAUGCAGAGAGACAGAAUGAGGGUGGGACAAAAAAAUGAUUUAAAUACAUAAAUAUUAAAUUAUGACUGAAUAAAAUACAUAUAUUAUUCAGAAUUAUUGUAAAGAUAUACCCAUGAUUUAACAUGAGUCUCCAUUUCAUUUAAGUUUUAUGAUACAAGUUUCAUGAAUAACCUACAAAAUUAAUUUCAGAUCUUUUUAUCACACAUUUAAAUUUUUUCUUCAAUUAUUGCAGAAAGCAUUAAUUUCUGUGUCAUUCCUGAAGUCAGCUUUGCUCUAUAACUGUUGUCUCUGUUGUGGGGUAAUAAAAUCUUUAAAUGUUGGACUUAAUCUUCAUCAUUCUAUGAAAUCCUGUCAUAUUACAGGAGUUUUUUCUGACUUGCACUGCAGUCUUCUUAGAAAUAAAUUUUAAAUCAUACAACCUUACCUGUAUUUCUGAUAUAAUUCGACAAACGUACAGCAUGAAAGCUUUGCUAUUUCAUACAAUGUAGAACCUAUAUUAUGUAUCACAGAGUUUAAUUCUGAUGAAAAAAAUAACUUUGACUUGUAGAAUGUUUUUCCCUUAUUGAAUAAUGCUCCUAGCUCCUGAAACUAAAAUGUAUAUGGCUUCCUUUCUUCACAGUGGCCGUCAACUAGAAAUUUCAUUAUGUACUCAACAGAAAGAUAUUUAGACAGCUUUAAAUGACAAAAAAAAAUUAAAAUAAUGAAAUAAUUUGUAAAAAUGAAGAAAAAAAAAUGAUUACAAUGAUGACAUAAAUUGUAAAAAUGAUUUUUUUUAUUGAAAUGAUGAAAUAAACUGUAAAAAUGAAAAAAAAAAGUGAAUAAAAAUGAUGAAAUAAAUUGCGAUAAAACAUUUUAUUUAUGCAUACAAAUGAAUUAAUAUGGUAUUAUGAGAUGAAUAUAUAAUUAAUAACCUCUGCAUGGUAAAAUAUUAUAUUGUAAUGAGGUUGCUAUUUUUGUGGCUAUUUUUGUGGCUACCUGAUAUCUGUGGAAUAUUGUAAAGGUGUUCUAGUCUUUUAAAUGAAAAAUUAUGUUUUAUGUUUGCUUUUUUAUAAAAAAAUGUUUUAGUUUGUAUUUUGUAAGAAAAUAAACAUGUUUUAAGUUUA